Molecule: non-coding RNA, 45 nt
Organism: Schistosoma curassoni
Lineage: Eukaryota; Metazoa; Platyhelminthes; Trematoda; Strigeidida; Schistosomatidae
Source: Rfam
AUCCGGCUGGCGGGUCCCAAAUAGGACGAAACGCGCAUCCUGGAU